AUCUUCGGGGCGGGGUGUAAUUCCCCACUGGCGGUAUAGUCCGCGACCCGCUGCAGAGCGAUCUGCCGCGGCUGAAUUGGUGCAAUUCCAAUACCAACAGUUACAGUCUGGAUGAGAGAAGAG
This 123-nucleotide non-coding RNA is filed under the name chicken gut metagenome. RNAcentral's name for it is "FMN riboswitch (RFN element)". It matches the Rfam family "FMN riboswitch aptamer (RFN element)". From Rfam's summary of the family: The RFN element is a highly conserved domain that is found frequently in the 5'-untranslated regions of prokaryotic mRNAs that encode for flavin mononucleotide (FMN) biosynthesis and transport proteins. This element is a metabolite-dependent riboswitch that directly binds FMN in the absence of proteins. The record is from RNAcentral.